RNAcentral lists this ribosomal RNA (395 nucleotides) under uncultured bacterium. Its description in RNAcentral is "partial 16S ribosomal RNA". It matches the Rfam family "Bacterial small subunit ribosomal RNA", at positions 523 to 918 of the family's 1533-position model. The record is from RNAcentral.
AUACGUAGGGUGCAAGCGUUAAUCGGAAUUACUGGGCGUAAAGCGUGCGCAGGCGGUUUUGUAAGACAGAGGUGAAAUCCCCGGGCUCAACCUGGGACCUGCCUUUGGGACUGGAAGGCCAGAGUACGGCAGAGGGGGACGGAAUUCGGGGUGUAGCAGUGAAAUGCGUAGAUAUGCGGAGGAACACCGAUGGCGAAGGCACUCCCCUGGGGCUGUACUGACGCUCAGGCACGAAAGCGUGGGGAGCAAACAGGAUUAGAGACCCUGGUAGUCCACGCCCUAAACGAUGUCAACUGGUUGUUGGGGAUUUAUUUUCUCAGUAACGAAGCUAACGCGUGAAGUUGACCGCCUGGGGAGUACGGCCGCAAGGUUAAAACUCAAAUGAAUUGGCGGGG